GACGAACGCUGGCGGUGCGCUUAACACAUGCAAGUCGAGCGAGAACCAGACCCUUGGGUCUGGGGACAGCGGCGAACGGGUGAGUAACACGUGGGUAAUCAACCCUCGGUACUGGGAUAGCCCGGGGAAACCCGGAUUAAUACCGGAUGGCCCUUCGGAGCUUUCGGUUCUGAAGGAAAAGGUAAGGCUUCGGCCUCCGACCGAGGACGAGCCCGCGGCGGAUUAGCUUGUUGGUGGGGUAACGGCCUACCAA
This 253-nucleotide ribosomal RNA is filed under the name uncultured bacterium. Its description in RNAcentral is "partial 16S ribosomal RNA". It matches the Rfam family "Bacterial small subunit ribosomal RNA", at positions 28 to 271 of the family's 1533-position model. The record is from RNAcentral.